GGUGGCUCAGUGGUAGAGCGCCUGCCUGGCAUACAUGCUGCCCUGAGUUCGAUUCCUCAGCACCA
RNAcentral lists this transfer RNA (65 nucleotides) under Dipodomys ordii (Ord's kangaroo rat). It matches the Rfam family "tRNA". From Rfam's summary of the family: Transfer RNA (tRNA) molecules are approximately 80 nucleotides in length. Their secondary structure includes four short double-helical elements and three loops (D, anti-codon, and T loops). Lineage: Eukaryota; Metazoa; Chordata; Mammalia; Rodentia; Heteromyidae. The record is from Rfam by way of RNAcentral.